Molecule: long non-coding RNA, 1114 nt
Filed under: Lathyrus oleraceus (garden pea)
Lineage: Eukaryota; Viridiplantae; Streptophyta; Magnoliopsida; Fabales; Fabaceae
Description: Pisum sativum (pea) long non-coding RNA (PSAT_LNC028231)
Source: RNAcentral
ACUUAUGCCAUGAAUACCCAAGAUUUACCUAAAACAAUAACCAUAAAAAAGGAAGAUAAUAAAAACAACAAAAAAGGUUUAACUUUAUACUCAGUAAAAAAACUUAAAAUGAAGUGAAGAUAAACAAUCUUAAAUAAAAACUCAGUAGACAAUGAACAAAUAAAUGAAAAAAGAAACAAAAGAAAAAUACAAGAGAAGAACUCAUCAACAAUGAGAGUUCAUUCUCACUGAGUGCUUGAAUAAAACAAAACAAACACAACUAUCCAACAAAACCUAAUGUAACUGAAAUCGGUAGAGAACACACUCAAAAACGCAACAUGAAUGUUAAUCGAAAAUGAAAUAAAAGAACCAACACAAACACACAACGACAGCAAAUGGAGAGAAACAAAAAUACACCAACCGACACGAAACGUAACUAUUGAGCUGCGAAUGCUUCAGCACAGAACCGAAUUGUAUGUUUAUUGUUGUUACGAAUCAAAGCUGAGUUGAGAGCUGUUGAAUUUAAAAUGUGUUGUUGCUGCAAAGUGAUGGAAAUCUUGGAUGCGGAGUGUGUUUCCAUUUUGUUGCAAGGUUGUUGUUGAAUAUUAUAAGGCUUUUCCUUCAAACUAAGUAGGAACCAAAACACGACAUGUUACUUUAUUUCCAAUAAUUAUUGCAGAAAAACUAAAACCAAAAGAGGACAUGUUAAACAACCAUGAUGUUGCAUCAACAGAAGCUUCCAUAUCACUCUUACUGACGACAUACUGAACUAGAAAAUCCAAAUAGAAACUAGAUUUUUCAUUUGUGUGCACCGCGAGUUUCAAAACCGCACAACUUUGUUUGUGAAGAAAAUGAAAUAACAAAAAAGAAAAGUGUGUUGACGGCGAUGGAAAGAGUAUUUGAAAUCACAUGAUGGUUGUUGUGGAGGAUGGUGCGUACAUGUGAAUUUGGAGAUGGAUAUUUGUGUAGGUGGUUUUUGAUGGUUGUGUGUUGUUUAUUUGCAAUAUCACGGUGGAGCUGAGUUAUUGUCGUGUUGUUCUUCGAAGUAGCAGGGGGUUUUAAUGUGGUUAACAAACUGAAGAAGGUGUCUGGUUGUUGUUCAUCGGAGCUAGGGCGGAGCUCACGGUACUGUUAA